This 29-nucleotide non-coding RNA is filed under the name Rattus norvegicus (Norway rat). Lineage: Eukaryota; Metazoa; Chordata; Mammalia; Rodentia; Muridae. The record is from RNAcentral.
CAGGAGUUAUACGUCAGAAAUACCUCAGA